GGAAUACAUGGAGUCCAGCAUUUGCCGCUGGCGUGGUUUGUCGGGAGACAUGGGGUUUUGGAAAGAAUUAGAUGGGGAUGAAGCUUAGGGUUCUAACGAGUGAUAUGAUCGGAGAAAUAUAUCAGAAGGUCCGAAUUUUUUUUUUUUUUUGGGGGGGGAGGGGAGGAGAGGGGGAGGGAGAGAAGGGUAGAGAUUAAAACUCGGUUCCCCCAACUCCUUCCCUGGGAAAAUUACAGGGCCUAUGGUUGCAAACAAAAGAGCUGAACAGGAACUCCCACCAGCAACCUGUAACUUGUUCUGUUUGCUGACAAACCUGAUUUUUACAGGAUCAGAACUAAAAGGCUCCCCGGUUAGGACAAUCUGAUGCUCUGUGCCCAGGCUGCCCACAGUUAAAACAAGCACCUCCAAAGCUAUCUCGAGGCGAAGACCUGCUUGAUCUUCCACCGUUAAUCAGCCAAUCAUCACUGUUGCUUCUUGAAUAGCUCCUGCUUUUUGAAUAGCUUCGGCCACCUCGCUGUCCACGCCUAUAUGUAUCUUCAUCAUCAUCAGAAAAAUCUCGACCAGCACCCCUACCCCGGGAGGCUCUAAAACCUCUCUGGCCCCCCCUACUGCCUCUGGCACUACUGCCCCUAGCAGAUUGAUCUCUGCUAGAAAACCUGCCAUAGUAAUCACUAGGAGGCCCAUCAUCUUGUAAUGAAGGCAACUUUGUGAUUUUGGAAAUAUUGUUUCCAGGUGGUAAUUGCUUAUUCAAUAACUCUUUAGCAAUCUCCUCUGGAAGAUCAAAAACUGCCCCUUGAAUCUUUUCAUCAGCAAUUAAAUAUAUUUUUCCAACUUCGUCUGCUGCAGCAGUAUAAACAUCAGAAAGAAAACCAGUGACAGAUCUAACAGACAAGUAUCCUCUAGAAUAACUUGGAUCCCGUGUCAACUGCAAUGUUAUCCAUCCCUGCUCAUGGUUAAUGAGAGAUCGGGAUGAAGGAGGCUGGGAAAAUCCACUCAAAUGUGCAAGUGCAGCAGCAAGAGCACUUGUGCCUUGUUCUUUAAUCAAUUUCUGGGCAGUUGGGGUGAAAAAUUCAACAGACUCAGCGUGAACUCCAUUUAGAGUUGCAACCACUUGCUCAGCUGAUGACUCCAAAACCUGCUCAGUUGCUGGUGGACUAACAAACUCAAACUUGCACCCCACAUCACGCUCAAGAGAUCUAACUGUCCUCCUUUGACUACUACUGAACAUCAGAAUGGCAGUACCUUCCUUGCCUGCACGUCCAGUACGACCAGACCGAUGCACAAAAGUUUCAGGAUCAUUGGGAAGUUCAUAAUGGAUAACCAAAUCAACAUUUGGAAUAUCAAGCCCACGAGAAGCAACGUCUGUGGCAACAAGCACUGUAAAUUUUCCUUGCCGAAAGCCAUUUAAAGUUCUCUCUCUCUGGUGCUGAGAUAUAUCUCCAUGCAAUGCCUCAGAAGCUAUACUAUUUGUUAAUGCCAUUGAGACUUCAUCAGCAUCUCGCUUAGUCUGAGUAAAGAUAAUAGUCUUCCCACCCUUUGCAUAAACUGUUACAAGAUCACCAAGAAUGCUCCGCUUUGACGUUGCAGUGGAAGACACGGCAUAUAGUUUGAUUCCUUCUGCCAACUUUUCCUCUUGGUCACCAACCAAAUCAAUUUGAAGAGGGUUGUCCAAAUAUUUCCUCGCCAAUUUUUUGACCCAAGUAGGCAUUGUAGCAGAGAAAAGCAUACUCUGUCGUUUUGAUGGAAGAUUUUCUAAAAUUACUUCCACGUCCUCCUCAAAUCCAAAUGAAAGCAUUUGAUCAGCUUCAUCAAGGACCAAGUACUCAACUUCUCCCAAUCUAAGGCUAUUGCUGUUGAUCAAAUCAAUUAUUCGACCUGGAGUUCCAACGACAACAUCAACCCCAUGGGAAAGAGCAUUUCGUUGCGUAAUAUAUGAAACUCCUCCAUAAACACAAACAGUGUUCAAGUAAGGUGCAGACUCAUUAAUUUCUUUCUCCACUUGCUUUGCUAAUUCACGAGUUGGUGCUAGGACCAAAACUCUAGGAAGCCGGCCAGUUCGGCUUCGUGGACUUAGUUGUGUCGUAUCUUCUGUAAGGUGUUUAAGUAUUGGGAUCCCAAAGGCUAAUGUCUUCCCUGUCCCAGUCUUUGCCCGAGCAAUGAGAUCUCGACCUUCUAGUGCCGGAACUAAAACAGCCCUCUGAAUGGGGAAAAGAUGAGUAAUUCCACGUUUCUCAAGGGACUCAACAAGUCGCUGGGGCAAACCCAACCUAGAAAUGGCAAGUUCAUCUUCAUCAGGAAGACUGUCACCACCGGCGGUCUCAGUUUCAGACUCAUAGACCCCGCUUCUGACAUCAUUAUCACCAUCAAAAUCAGAGAGGCGACCACUGAGGCCUUUGAAGGCCUCUUCACUGAGAAUAGAAUUGGGAGUGGCGAUAGCAGAAGGAACAAAAGAAAGCCGAUGUUUAUAGUGGGCACUGCUCUGAAGAACCAAGAGCGGUCUCCCUCCUCCUCCGCCUCCGCCUCCACCUUCACCACUGGUUACCAAAGAAAUGAAGUGAGGCUUCUCAUACAAGGGUAGGGGAAAAGAAAAAGAGGAUAAAGUGGGGGUUGCCGUGGUGGGAGUACAGAAUAUAGAUGAAACUCCAAUGGCUGAAGAAGCCAUUAGUAUGGGGAAAAGUCAGCCCGGGAUGGAAGAGAGGAAGUGAGUAUGGAGAAGAAAUGAGAAAGAGACUGAGAGGGAGGAUAAGAGCAGUGUGUCAGAGAAAGCUCUUCCCUUGAAAAUGUAAGGACUCCCGCAGGUCCACCUCGGUUGCUAUCCUGUUUUCUCCACUCCCAAUAUAUUUUGCCGU
Molecule: unclassified non-coding RNA, 2849 nt
Filed under: Hevea brasiliensis (rubber tree)
Lineage: Eukaryota; Viridiplantae; Streptophyta; Magnoliopsida; Malpighiales; Euphorbiaceae
Source: RNAcentral